This 274-nucleotide ribosomal RNA is filed under the name uncultured bacterium. RNAcentral's name for it is "partial 16S ribosomal RNA". It matches the Rfam family "Bacterial small subunit ribosomal RNA", at positions 523 to 796 of the family's 1533-position model. The record is from RNAcentral.
AUACGGAGGUAACAAGCGUUAUUCGGAAUCACUGGGCGUAAAGGACGCGUAGGCGGGUUAUUAAGUCGGGUGUGAAAUCCAAUGGCUCAACCAUUGAACUGCAUUCGAAACUGAUAACCUAGAGUAUGGAAGGGGCAGGUGGAAUUAGUGGUGUAGGGGUAAAAUCCGUAGAUAUCACUAGGAAUACCGAAAGCGAAGGCGACCUGCUGGGACAUUACUGACGCUGAGGCGUGAAAGCGUGGGGAGCAAACAGGAUUAGAAACCCUAGUAGUCC